ACGCCGCGUGACGAUGAANGCCUUCGGGUCGUAAAGUUCUGUUGUUAGNNNNNANNAAGUACCAGAGUAACUGCUGGUACCUUGACGGUACCUAACCAGAAAGCCACGGCUAACUACGUGCCAGCAGCCGCGGUAAUACGUAGGUGGCAAGCGUUGUCCGGAAUUAUUGGGCGUAAAGCGCGCGCAGGUGGUUUCUUAAGUCUGAUGUGAAAGCCCACGGCUCAACCGUGGAGGGUCAUUGGAAACUGGGGAACUUGAGUGCAGAAGAGGAAAGUGGAAUUCCAAGUGUAGCGGUGAAAUGCGUAGAGAUUUGGAGGAACACCAGUGGCGAAGGCGACUUUCUGGUCUGUAACUGACACUGAGGCGCGAAAGCGUGGGGAGCGAACAGGAUUAGAUACCCUGGUAGUCCACGCCGUAAANGAUGAGUGCUAAGUGUUAGAGGGUUUCCGCCCUUUAGUGCUGCAGCAAACGCAUUAAGCACUCCGNCUGGGGAGUACGGUCGCAAGACUGAAAACUCAAAGGAAUUGACGGGGGCCCCGCACAAGCGGNGGAGCAUGUGGUUUAAUUCNAANCAACGCGAAGAACCUUACCAGGGUCUUGACAUCCCCACUUGCCCGGUAUANAGAUAUACCUUUUCCCUUUCGGGGANNUGGUGGACAGGUGGUGCAUGNNUUGNCGUCAGNCUCGUUGUCGUGAGAUGUUGNGNUUAAGUCCCCGCAACGAGCCGCCAACCCCUUGAUUCUU
This 744-nucleotide ribosomal RNA is filed under the name Metabacillus litoralis. Its description in RNAcentral is "Bacillus litoralis partial 16S ribosomal RNA". It matches the Rfam family "Bacterial small subunit ribosomal RNA", at positions 394 to 1115 of the family's 1533-position model. Lineage: Bacteria; Bacillati; Bacillota; Bacilli; Caryophanales; Bacillaceae. The record is from RNAcentral.